This 724-nucleotide long non-coding RNA is filed under the name Phascolarctos cinereus (koala). RNAcentral's name for it is "lncRNA (ENSPCIG00000023480.2)". The record is from RNAcentral. Lineage: Eukaryota; Metazoa; Chordata; Mammalia; Diprotodontia; Phascolarctidae.
AAUUUGGGUAUUUUGAGUUUUGUGGACAAGCAACAUAUACCUUUUGAGAGCCUAACAAUCACUUCAGAGUUUUCCUCUCAAUGUCCCUUAGGCAUCACCCAGGGCCCUGGACACACACUCCUAAUUUACAGAGAAUCACAUUGAGGCAUAGAGAUAUUUGUACAGCAUGUGUGUAUUGAGUCAGGGAUCAAAUUCUGGAUUUUCAAUCUGUCUUCCACUUUAUUAUGGGAAAUCACUUCUUUAUAUAAAAGUGAAAAAAAGGCUGUUAGCUUGAUUUGAUUUUUCCAUUAAACAAGCUCAAAAUGUGCAUGAAAAUGCUGGAAAUAAAUUUUAAAAAGAGGAUAAAAACACUUUCUGUGUAUUAUUUAUUUACUUUCUUUACAGACUGAUUUCCUAUAAUCGUGAAUAUGCUAGAGGUGAAGGAGGUUCAUUUCAUGGAUUGAAAAAGAGGCUUACUGGACAGAAUGCAGACGAGAGCCCAACAGUCUCUGCUUGCAAUUGCAUUGGAGCUGACUUCCACAAGAUGGAAUUUCCAUUCUCGGGUUUCCAUUUGAGAUUUACCUUCAUAGCAGAGACAAGCAAAUAUAUUCUCCUUUUGUGCCAACAGCAUAAAUCUACAGAAAAUUAAAUUCUUGGGAAGAAUAACACUGACCUUCAAUAACUCUGCUAACCAAAUUCUUGAGCUGUGGUGGGAGUCAUCUGUGGUAACUCGGUCUGAAUAAUG